AUGCUCGCUUCGGCAGCACAUACUCUAACAUUGGAACGACACAGAGAUUAGCAUGGCCCCUGCGUGAGGAUGGCAUGGAAAUUCGUGAAGUGUUCCAUAUUUUG
This 104-nucleotide small nuclear RNA is filed under the name Tupaia belangeri (northern tree shrew). The record is from RNAcentral. Lineage: Eukaryota; Metazoa; Chordata; Mammalia; Scandentia; Tupaiidae.